AGAGUUUGAUCCUGGCUCAGGAUGAACGCUAGCGGCAGGCCUAACACAUGCAAGUCGAGGGGCAGCAGACUACUUCGGUGGUGCUGGCGACCGGCGAACGGGUGAGUAACGCGUUUAUAACCUACCCCUAACUGUGGCAUAGCUCCCGGAAACGGGAAUUAAUUCCACAUAAUAUUUAAACAUGGCAUCAUGUUUUCAUUAAAGCUCCGGCGGUUAGGGAUGGGCAUGCGUGACAUUAGCUUGUUGGUAAGGUAACGGCUUACCAAGGCUACGAUGUCUCGGGGGUCUGAGAGGAUGAUCCCCCACACUGGUACUGAGACACGGACCAGACUCCUGCGGGAGGCAGCAGUGAGGAAUAUUGGGCAAUGGACGCAAGUCUGACCCAGCCAUGCCGCGUGCAGGAUGAAUGCCCUAUGGGUUGUAAACUGCUUUUAUACAGGAAGAAACCCUCUGACGUGUCAGAGGUUGACGGUACUGUACGAAUAAGCAUCGGCUAACUCCGUGCCAGCAGCCGCGGUAAUACGGAGGAUGCAAGCGUUAUCCGGAUUUAUUGGGUUUAAAGGGUGCGUAGGCGGGGCAAUUAGUCAGUGGUGAAAUCCUGCGGCUUAACCGUAGAACUGCCAUUGAUACUGUUGCCCUUGAGUAUAGUUGAGGUGGGCGGAAUGUGUAAUGUAGCGGUGAAAUGCAUAGAGAUUACACAGAACACCAAUUGCGAAGGCAGCUCACUAAGCUAUAACUGACGCUGAGGCACGAAAGCGUGGGGAGCGAACAGGAUUAGAUACCCUGGUAGUCCACGCUGUAAACGAUGAUCACUCGUUGUUGGCAAUAUAUCGUCAGCGACUAAGCGAAAGCAUUAAGUGAUCCACCUGGGGAGUACGAUCGCAAGAUUGAAACUCAAAGGAAUUGACGGGGGCCCGCACAAGCGGAGGAACAUGUGGUUUAAUUCGAUGAUACGCGAGGAACCUUACCUGGGCUUAAAUGCAGAACGACGUACCGGGAAACUGGUAUUCCCUUCGGGGCGGACUGCAAGGUGCUGCAUGGCUGUCGUCAGCUCGUGCCGUGAGGUGUCGGGUUAAGUCCCAUAACGAGCGCAACCCCUAUCGUUAGUUGCCAGCGGAUAAUGCCGGGGACUCUAACGAAACUGCCAGUGUAAACUGUGAGGAAGGUGGGGAUGACGUCAAGUCAGCACGGCCCUUAUGUCCAGGGCUACACACGUGUUACAAUGGCCGGAACAGAGGGCAGCUACCUGGUGACAGGAUGCAAAUCUCAAAAUCCGGUCUCAGUUCGGAUCGAAGUCUGCAACUCGACUUCGUGAAGGUGGAUUCGCUAGUAAUCGCGCAUCAGCAACGGCGCGGUGAAUACGUUCCCGGGCCUUGUACACACCGCCCGUCAAGCCAUGGAAGCUGGGGGUACCUGAAGUCUGCAACCGCAAGGAGCAGCCUAGGGUAAAACUAGUGACUGGGGCUAAGUCGUAACAAGGUA
RNAcentral lists this ribosomal RNA (1482 nucleotides) under metagenome. Its description in RNAcentral is "bacterial SSU rRNA". It matches the Rfam family "Bacterial small subunit ribosomal RNA". The record is from RNAcentral.